RNAcentral lists this ribosomal RNA (465 nucleotides) under Vreelandella stevensii. RNAcentral describes it as "partial 16S ribosomal RNA". It matches the Rfam family "Bacterial small subunit ribosomal RNA", at positions 338 to 795 of the family's 1533-position model. The record is from RNAcentral. Lineage: Bacteria; Pseudomonadati; Pseudomonadota; Gammaproteobacteria; Oceanospirillales; Halomonadaceae.
CCUACGGGCGGCUGCAGUGGGGAAUAUUGGACAAUGGGGGCAACCCUGAUCCAGCCAUGCCGCGUGUGUGAAGAAGGCCCUCGGGUUGUAAAGCACUUUCAGUGAGGAAGAACGCCUGGUGGUUAAUACCCAUCAGGAAAGACAUCACUCACAGAAGAAGCACCGGCUAACUCCGUGCCAGCAGCCGCGGUAAUACGGAGGGUGCGAGCGUUAAUCGGAAUUACUGGGCGUAAAGCGCGCGUAGGUGGCUUGAUAAGCCGGUUGUGAAAGCCCCGGGCUCAACCUGGGAACGGCAUCCGGAACUGUCAAGCUAGAGUGCAGGAGAGGAAGGUAGAAUUCCCGGUGUAGCGGUGGAAUGCGUAGAGAUCGGGAGGAAUACCAGUGGCGAAGGCGGCCUUCUGGACUGACACUGACACUGAGGUGCGAAAGCGUGGGUAGCAAACAGGAUUAGAUACCCUAGUAGUC